UACGUAGGGUGCGAGCGUUAAUCGGAAUUACUGGGCGUAAAGUGUGCGCAGGCGGCUUCGCAAGUCGAGUGUGAAAUCCCCGAGCUUAACUUGGGAAUUGCGCUCGAAACUACGGAGCUGGAGUGUGGCAGAGGAAGGUGGAAUUCCACGUGUAGCGGUGAAAUGCGUAGAGAUGUGGAGGAACACCGAUGGCGUAGGCAGCCUUCUGGGCCAACACUGACGCUCAUGCACGAAAGCGUGGGGAGCAAACAGG
RNAcentral lists this ribosomal RNA (253 nucleotides) under uncultured bacterium. RNAcentral's name for it is "partial 16S ribosomal RNA". It matches the Rfam family "Bacterial small subunit ribosomal RNA", at positions 524 to 776 of the family's 1533-position model. The record is from RNAcentral.